GAGAAGUCGGCAAAUUGGAUCCGUAACUUCAGAAUAAGGAUUGGCUCUGAGGAGCGGGGCGUGUCGGGCUUAGUUGGGAAGCGAGUCUGGCUGACGUGCCGGGCCUGGGCGAGGUGAACGGUCGGCGUUCUCGCGCUGGUCCCGAGAUCCGAGCUCGGUCCCGUGCCUUGUCCUCCCGCGGAUCUUCCUUGCUGCGAGGCUUCCGUGACGGCGCGAGCCGUCAGAUCGUCCUCCUCGGCCGCCAUUCAACGCUCAGCUCACAACUGGCACGGACUAGAGGAAUCCGACUGUCUAAUUAAAACAAAGCAUUGCGAUGGCUCUCGCGGGUGUUGACGCAAUGUGAUUUCUGUCCAGUGCUCUAAAUGUCAACGUGAAGAAAUUCAAGCAAGCGCGGGUAUACGGCGGAAGUAACUAUGAUUCUCUUGUCAUGGACGGACGUAUGUAAUAUCGCUCCGUGUUC
Molecule: non-coding RNA, 460 nt
Filed under: Lasius niger
Lineage: Eukaryota; Metazoa; Arthropoda; Insecta; Hymenoptera; Formicidae
Description: Eukaryotic large subunit ribosomal RNA
Rfam family: Eukaryotic large subunit ribosomal RNA
Source: Rfam by way of RNAcentral